RNAcentral lists this ribosomal RNA (431 nucleotides) under uncultured archaeon. RNAcentral's name for it is "bacterial SSU rRNA". It matches the Rfam family "Archaeal small subunit ribosomal RNA", at positions 474 to 904 of the family's 1478-position model. The record is from RNAcentral.
UACCUGCAGCUCGAGUGGUAACCGCUAUUAUUGGGCCUAAAGCGUCCGUAGCCGGUUUGGUAAAUAUCUGGGUGAAUCGUGAGGCUUAACUUCACGAAUUUCGGAUAGACUGCCAGACUUGGGAUCGGGGGAGGUCAGAGGUACUCCAGGGGUAGCGGUGAAAUGUUGUAAUCCUUGGAGGACCACCGGUAGCGAAGGCGUCUGACUAGAACGAGUCCGACGGUGAGGGACGAAGCCCUGGGGCGCAAAACCGGAUUGGAUACCCGGGUAGUCCAGGGUGUAAACGAUGUGGGCUUUGUAUUGGAGGUCCCACGUGGGCGUCCAGUGCAGAAGAGAAGUUGUUAAGCCCACCGCCUGGGAAGUACGGUCGCAAGGCUGAAACUUAAAGGAAUUGGCGGGGGAGCACAGCAACGGGAGGAGCGUGCGGUUUA